GGUGGAGCGAUUUGUCUGGUUUAUUCCGAUAACGAACGAGACUCUGGCCUACUAAAUAGUGACAGGAUUAUUACUGUCCUGGAUACUUCUUAGAGGGACAAGUGGUUUUCAGCCACACGAAAUUGAGCAAUAACAGGUCUGUGAUGCCCUUAGAUGUCCGGGGCUGCACGCGCGCUACACUGAAGGAAUCAGCGUGCUAAAACCAUUGUCGAAAGGCAUUGGUAAACCCAUUAAAAUCCUACGUGAUUGGGAUCGGGAAUUGCAAUUAUUUCCCUUGAACGAGGAAUUCCCAGUAAGUGUGGGUCAUAAGCUCGCGUUGAUUACGUCCCUGCCCUUUGUA
RNAcentral lists this ribosomal RNA (340 nucleotides) under Nematodes sp. OTU296. RNAcentral describes it as "SSU rRNA". It matches the Rfam family "Eukaryotic small subunit ribosomal RNA", at positions 1300 to 1664 of the family's 1831-position model. Lineage: Eukaryota; Metazoa; Arthropoda; Insecta; Coleoptera; Eucnemidae. The record is from RNAcentral.